Molecule: long non-coding RNA, 554 nt
Filed under: Marmota monax (woodchuck)
Lineage: Eukaryota; Metazoa; Chordata; Mammalia; Rodentia; Sciuridae
Source: RNAcentral
GUUGACCUUGGGCCCUGGGCUCGGCCUACCUCGUUGUCUCCCUCCCCACGAGGGGUCCGGUUUCCUCAUCCAGAAUUACUGAUCCCUGGCACGUGUGUUGGUGGGACUGGUGCUGCGGUUCAUGCCUUCUCCGGCCCUCUGGCUGGAGUCUAGAGGAAGGCAGCCCGAGGCCGGAAGAGCCGGCCAGUCUGCCGUGAAGGACUCCCUCCCGGAAGGCCGCUUCCUGCGAGCUGCGGCGCUAGCAGGGUCUCGGGGCGGGAAGAGCAGGCAGCCCCGGAGGGCGGCCAAGCUCUGGGCUUCUCCCCCAGGACUCGGUGCACAGGAAGCCCUGGGACUCAUAAUUCCAGGAACCUCAAGCUUUCCAGAAUCUCACUGUUACCGCGCAGCGGGGCAAAAGGCUAGACUUCAUCAAUCGCUCCACAAAUAUCAAGUUGGCAGGAAAACCAGGCGCAGUGGCGCACGCCUGUAAUCCCAGAGGCUUGGAGAGGCUAGGGCAGGAGGAUCGCAAGUUCUAAGCCAGCCUCAGCAAUUUAGAAAGCCCCUAAGCAAUUUAG